Molecule: ribosomal RNA, 404 nt
Filed under: uncultured Glomeromycotina
Lineage: Eukaryota; Fungi; Glomeromycota
Description: SSU rRNA
Rfam family: Eukaryotic small subunit ribosomal RNA
Source: RNAcentral
GUACUAGCCUGCCGAUUCCUCCUUCUUGUAGAACCGUAAUGCCAUUAAUUUGGUGUUGCGGGGAAACAGGACUGUUACUUUGAAAAAAUUAGAGUGUUUAAAGCAGGCUAGCGCCUGAAUACAUUAGCAUGGAAUAAUGAAAUAGGACGUUCGAACCUAUUUUGUUGGUUUCUAGGAUUGACGUAAUGAUUAAUAGGGAUAGUUGGGGGCAUUAGUAUUCAAUUGUCAGAGGUGAAAUUCUUGGAUUUAUUGAAGACUGACUACUGCGAAAGCAUUUGCCAAGGAUGUUUUCAUUAAUCAAGAACGAAAGUUAGGGGAUCGAAGACGAUCAGAUACCGUCGUAGUCUUAACCAUAAACUAUGCCGACUAGGGAUCGGAUGAUGUUAAUUUUUUAAUGACUCAUU